GGGGAAUAUUGGGCAAUGGGCGCAAGCCUGACCCAGCAACGCCGCGUGAAGGAAGAAGGCUUUCGGGUUGUAAACUUCUUUUAUCAGGGACGAUAAUGACGGUACCUGAUGAAUAAGCUCCGGCUAACUACGUGCCAGCAGCCGCGGUAAUACGUAGGGAGCAAGCGUUAUCCGGAUUUACUGGGUGUAAAGGGCGUGUAGGCGGGACUGCAAGUCAGAUGUGAAAACUAUGGGCUUAACCCAUAGCCUGCAUUUGAAACUGUAGUUCUUGAGUGGUGGAGAGGCAAAUGGAAUUCCUAGUGUAGCGGUGAAAUGCGUAGAUAUUAGGAAGAACACCAGUGGCGAAGGCGAUUUGCUGGACACUAACUGACGCUGAGGCGCGAAAGCGUGGGGAGCAAACAGGAUUAGAUACCCUGGUAGUCCACGCCGUAAACGAUGGAUACUAGGUGUGGGGGGUCUGACCCCCUCCGUGCCGCAGUUAACACAAUAAGUAUCCCACCUGGGGAGUACGAUCGCAAGGUUGAAACUCAAAGGAAUUGACGGGGGCCCGCACAAGCGGUGGAGUAUGUGGUUUAAUUCGAAGCAACGCGAAGAACCUUACCAGGUCUUGACAUCCCGAUGACCGGUGUAGAGAUACACCUUCUCUUCGGAGCAUCGGUGACAGGUGGUGCAUGGUUGUCGUCAGCUCGUGUCGUGAGAUGUUGGGUUAAGUCCCGCAACGAGCGCAACCCUUGUUGCUAGUUGCUACGCAAGAGCACUCUAGCGAUACUGCCGUUGACAAAACGGAGGAAGGUGGGGACGACGUCAAAUCAUCAUGCCCCUUAUGACCUGGGCCACACACGUACUACAAUGGCGGUUAACAGAGGGAAGCAAUACCGCGAGGUGGAGCAAAUCCCUAAAAGCCGUCCCAGUUCGGAUUGCAGGCUGCAACCCGCCUGCAUGAAGUCGGAAUCGCUAGUAAUCGCGGAUCAGCAUGCCGCGGUGAAUACGUUCCCG
Molecule: ribosomal RNA, 996 nt
Filed under: uncultured bacterium
Lineage: Bacteria
Description: bacterial SSU rRNA
Rfam family: Bacterial small subunit ribosomal RNA
Source: RNAcentral